CGUGUGGUUCUAUUUUGUUGGUUUCUAGGACCGCCGUAAUGAUUAAUAGGGACAGUCGGGGGCAUCAGUAUUCAAUUGUCAGAGGUGAAAUUCUUGGAUCUAUUGAAGACUAACUACUGCGAAAGCAUUUGCCAAGGAUGUUUUCAUUGAUAAGGAACGAAAGUUAGGGGAUCGAAGACGAUCAGAUACCGUCGUAGUCUUAACUAUAAACUAUGCCGACUAGGGAUCGGACGAUGUUAUUUCUUGACGCGUUCGGCACCUUUCGAGAAAUCAAAGUGCUUGGGCUCCAGGGGGAGUAUGGUCGCAAGGCUGAAACUUAAAGAAAUUGACGGAAGGGCACCACCAGGGGUGGAACCUGCGGCUUAAUUUGACUCAACACGGGGAAACUCA
Molecule: ribosomal RNA, 390 nt
Filed under: fungal sp.
Lineage: Eukaryota; Fungi
Description: SSU rRNA
Rfam family: Eukaryotic small subunit ribosomal RNA
Source: RNAcentral